AUUGAACGUUGGCGGAAUGCUUUACACAUGCAAGUCGAACGGCAGCACGGACUUCGGUCUGGUGGCGAGUGGCGAACGGGUGAGUAAUACAUCGGAACGUGCCCAGUCGUGGGGGAUAACGUAGCGAGAGCUACGCUAAUACCGCAUACGAUCUAAGGAUGAAAGCGGGGGAUCGCAAGACCUCGCGCGAUUGGAGCGGCCGAUGGCAGAUUAGGUAGUUGGUAGGGUAAAGGCCUACCAAGCCGACGAUCUGUAGCUGGUCUGAGAGGAUGAUCAGCCACACUGGGACUGAGACACGGCCCAGACUCCUACGGGAGGCAGCAGUGGGGAAUUUUGGACAAUGGGCGCAAGCCUGAUCCAGCCAUUCCGCGUGCAGGAUGAAGGCCUUCGGGUUGUAAACUGCUUUUGUACAGAACGAAAAGGCUCUGGUUAAUACCCGGGGCUCAUGACGGUACUGUAAGAAUAAGCACCGGCUAACUACGUGCCAGCCGCCGCGGUAA
This 500-nucleotide ribosomal RNA is filed under the name uncultured bacterium. Its description in RNAcentral is "partial 16S ribosomal RNA". It matches the Rfam family "Bacterial small subunit ribosomal RNA", at positions 30 to 523 of the family's 1533-position model. The record is from RNAcentral.